Helianthus annuus (common sunflower) is the source of this 963-nucleotide long non-coding RNA. RefSeq lists it as uncharacterized. The record is from RefSeq and is a predicted model, not a curated record. The transcript is spliced from 14 exons. Lineage: Eukaryota; Viridiplantae; Streptophyta; Magnoliopsida; Asterales; Asteraceae.
UGUGAAUUGUCAUAACAAUCAUACAUACCUACCACAACUUUACUCUUUUCUCUCUUCUCUUUCUUCUAGAAUCGUCAUCUUCUCACCGGAUUUUCAACAUUGAAUCAAGAUCAAAGAUCCGCCUAUAUAUCUUGAAGAUCAGACCAUAAAUCUUGAAGGUAAAUGGGGGAUAUCUACAAAUUUUGAUGGUACACGGCUUUUCAUUUAACGACAAUUUUGAUCAGAUACUGACAUUUAAGGAAAAAAUCUUAAUACAAUGUUGGGUAGAAGAUGCUGGAGAAUGAACUUAAGCGUAAUUUGGAUGCCGUUUAUGAUGUGGAUUUAUGUUCUUCUCAGUCUUCCACUAAACCGCGUAUGGGUGAUUGUGAGAACAAUGAAGAUCCGCCUAUAUAUCUUGAAGAUCAGACCAUAAAUCUUGAAGUUAUAGAUAUUUAUUUCUGAACCGAGUCUGUCCUCCAUAGUUUUUUCUGAUGUGAAGAGCUUCUUUCAGACUCCUUCCCCUACAAGGAACUAUUGAAUGGGUUCCUAUGAGAAGUUGAAGGAAAGUUAUGGAUAAUGAAAACAAUGCUCCUUCGUUAUUAAAGUCGAUUGAGGACUAUGAUCCUAUAUUUUUCGAAUUGUUCGUCGACCAAAAACAGUUAUGGAUCAUGAAAACAACGCUCCUUCGUUGUUAAAGUUGAUUGGGGACUAUGAUCCUAUAUUUUUGGAAAUACCAUAUGAUUUUGCAACCUUAUUGUGGGGAGAACAACUUCCAUAUGUCAAUGUCUUAAAAUUAUUGAUGAUGAUUUAUCUUAUGGAUCCUAAAAACAACUCUCAUUCGUUGUUAAAGUUUAUUGAGUAAUAUGAUCCUAUAUUUUUGGUGUUUAUUUUGGAUGGUCCGGAGUUUUUGGCUGCAACUAUGUUGGACAGAGAUAUGCUUGCUAUUGCUAUAAAUUGGUACCAUGUCGGUUGGUUUUGACUCGU